AGCAGCCGCGGUAAUUCCAGCUCCAAUAGCGUAUAUUAAAGUUGUUGCAGUUAAAAAGCUCGUAGUUGAAUUUCGGGGUUAGUAGGUCGGUCAUGCCUCAGGUAUGUACUGGUCUCACUGAUUCCUCUUCCUGAUGAGCCGUAAUGCCAUUAAUUUGGUGUUGCGGGGAAUCUGGACUGUUACUUGAAAAAAUUGAGUGUUUAAAGCAGGCUAACGCUUGAAUACAUUAGCAUGGAAUAAUGGAAUAGGACGUUCGAUCCGUAUUUUGUGGUUUCUAGGUUUGACGUAAUGAUUAAUAGGGUAUAGUUGGGGGCAUUAGUAUUUCAAUUGUACAGAGGUGAAAUUCUUAGGAUUUAGUG
RNAcentral lists this ribosomal RNA (359 nucleotides) under uncultured Glomus. RNAcentral describes it as "SSU rRNA". It matches the Rfam family "Eukaryotic small subunit ribosomal RNA", at positions 569 to 930 of the family's 1831-position model. Lineage: Eukaryota; Fungi; Glomeromycota; Glomeromycetes; Glomerales; Glomeraceae. The record is from RNAcentral.